This 599-nucleotide ribosomal RNA is filed under the name Polystigma pusillum. RNAcentral describes it as "bacterial SSU rRNA". It matches the Rfam family "Eukaryotic small subunit ribosomal RNA", at positions 324 to 915 of the family's 1831-position model. Lineage: Eukaryota; Fungi; Ascomycota; Sordariomycetes; Phyllachorales; Phyllachoraceae. The record is from RNAcentral.
GAUGGCUGGGUCUUGGCCCAGCAAUGGUGACACCGGUAACCGGAGCGAUUAGGGCUCGACCCGGAGAGGGCGCCCGAGCCAACGCCGACCCACAUCGAAGAAAGGCAGCACGGCGCGCAAAUUACCCAAUUCCGACUCGGGGGAGGUAGUGACAAUAAAUACUGAUGCAGGCGCGCUUACGUGUCUUGCAAUUGGAAUGAGUACAAUUUAAAUCCCUUAACGAGCGAACAAUUGGAGGGCAAGUCCUGGUGCCAGCAGCCGCGGUAAUUCCCAGCUCCAAUAGGCGUAUAUUAAAGUUGUUGAGGUUAAAAAGCUCGUAGUUGAACCUUGGGCUUUGGCUGGCCGGUCCGCCUCACCCGCGUGCACUGGUCCCGGCCGGGUCUUUUCCUCCGGGGAGCCGCAUGCCCUUUUACCGGGUGUGCCGGGGAACCGGGACGUUUACUCUGAACAAAUUAGAUCGCUUAAAGAAGGCCCUUUGCUUGAAUACAUUAGCAUGGAAUAAUGAAAUAGGACGUGUGGUUCUAUUGGGUGGUUUCUAGGACCGCCGUAAUGAUUAAUAGGGACAGUCGGGGGGGGGGGGGUCAACUUUCAGAUGUGAA